This 497-nucleotide ribosomal RNA is filed under the name uncultured bacterium. RNAcentral describes it as "partial 16S ribosomal RNA". It matches the Rfam family "Bacterial small subunit ribosomal RNA", at positions 28 to 507 of the family's 1533-position model. The record is from RNAcentral.
GACGAACGCUGGCGGCGUGCCUAAUACAUGCAAGUAGAACGCUGAAGAGAGGAGCUUGCUCUUCUUGGAUGAGUUGCGAACGGGUGAGUAACGCGUAGGUAACCUGCCUUGUAGCGGGGGAUAACUAUUGGAAACGAUAGCUAAUACCGCAUAACAAUGGAUGACACAUGUCAUUUAUUUGAAAGGGGCAAUUGCUCCACUACAAGAUGGACCUGCGUUGUAUUAGCUAGUAGGUGAGGUAACGGCUCACCUAGGCGACGAUACAUAGCCGACCUGAGAGGGUGAUCGGCCACACUGGGACUGAGACACGGCCCAGACUCCUACGGGAGGCAGCAGUAGGGAAUCUUCGGCAAUGGGGGCAACCCUGACCGAGCAACGCCGCGUGAGUGAAGAAGGUUUUCGGAUCGUAAAGCCCUGUUGUAAGUCAAGAACGAGUGUGAGAGUGGAAAGUUCACACUGUGACGGUAGCUUACCAGAAAGGGACGGCUAACUACGUG